ACUCCUACGGGAGGCAGCAGUGAGGAAUAUUGGUCAAUGGGCGCAAGCCUGAACCAGCCAUGCCGCGUGCAGGAUGACGGUCCUAUGGAUUGUAAACUGCUUUGUACGGGAAGAAACACUCCUUCAGUGAAGGAGCUUGUACGGGUACCGUAAGAAUAAAGGAUCGGCUAACUCCGUGCCAGCAGCCGCGGUAAUACGGAGGAUCCAAGCGUUAUCCGGAAUCAUUGGGUUUAAAGGGUCCGUAGGCGGUUUUAUAAGUCAGUGGUGAAAUCCGGCAGCUCAACUGUCGAACUGCCAUUGAUACUGUAGAACUUGAAAUUAUUGUGAAGUAACUAGAAUAUGUAGUGUAGCGGUGAAAUGCUUAGAGAUUACAUGGAAUACCAAUUGCGAAGGCAGGUUACUAACAAUAUAUUGACGCUGAUGGACGAAAGCGUGGGUAGCGAACAGGAUUAGAUACCC
This 459-nucleotide ribosomal RNA is filed under the name uncultured bacterium. RNAcentral describes it as "bacterial SSU rRNA". It matches the Rfam family "Bacterial small subunit ribosomal RNA", at positions 335 to 787 of the family's 1533-position model. The record is from RNAcentral.